GUUAGGGCCUGAGCAGAAUGGCUGACUUAUAACCUUAAAACACUGUUUUAUGCCCUAAGUCUUUGUCUUAGGUAACGCACAAUACUGUGUUAAUGUUUCCUGUCUUGUGUAGUAUACGCGACGUUUUAAGGAAUAAACGUAAAACGUAUAUUAAAAUAAUGUAUAGAAAUAAGCAAUUUUUAUUGCUUGUUUUACAAUGGAUGCUUUUGUAUAAAUUAUUAAAACGAAAAAAAAAACAAAUUAGAUGGUAUAAAAGAAGAUGAUAUCUUGCCACUGGAGAUCUUCCUUUGUCUAUCGCUCUAUCAUUUCGAAUUGGUGAAUCAACAAUGCGUAUGUUAAUUAAAGAAGUAUGUCAGAUAUUAAUAAAUGUAUUACAACCACUGUA
Molecule: non-coding RNA, 385 nt
Organism: Nylanderia fulva
Lineage: Eukaryota; Metazoa; Arthropoda; Insecta; Hymenoptera; Formicidae
Source: RefSeq, a predicted model, not a curated record